This 82-nucleotide transfer RNA is filed under the name Flavobacterium agri. It matches the Rfam family "tRNA". Rfam says of the family: Transfer RNA (tRNA) molecules are approximately 80 nucleotides in length. Their secondary structure includes four short double-helical elements and three loops (D, anti-codon, and T loops). Lineage: Bacteria; Pseudomonadati; Bacteroidota; Flavobacteriia; Flavobacteriales; Flavobacteriaceae. The record is from Rfam by way of RNAcentral.
GCGGGUGUGGUGAAAUUGGUAGACACGCCAGACUUAGGAUCUGGUGCCUUACGGUGUGUAGGUUCGAGUCCUAUCACCCGCA